CAGCUCCAUUGCACAGCUCAAGUUUCAGCAUCAGCGAACCCUGGACCAGCCAUGAAAGUAACUGCAUCAGUUGAUUUCACGGUGGUUUGCAAACCACACCACAAUGCAGUGGCCUGGAAGUAUCAGUAAUUUUGUUGGCAGUUCUUGGUUCUGGGCCAGCUGAACUCAUCACACCCAGACUCCCUCAUGUACCUGGUGGGCUUGGAAACCAAGACUCCGGAGAGUCACAACUGAGACUAGUCUUAGUGGGUAAGGCUGGAGCUGGAAAAAGUGCCACAGGGAACAGCAUCCUUGGGAAGAAAGUGUUUCACUCCAGCAUCACAACAAAAUCUGUCACCAAGGUCUGUGAGAAAGGGAGUAACACCUGGACUGGGAGAGAAAUUGUGGUCGUGGACACACCUGGUCUUUUCCACACCAAGGUGCCAAAUACUGACACACAAAAGGAGAUUGCUUGUUGCAUCCUCCUGAUGUCCCUGGGGCCUCAUGCACUGUUCUUGGUGGUCCCACUGGGCCAGUACACAAGA
Phyllostomus hastatus (greater spear-nosed bat) is the source of this 524-nucleotide long non-coding RNA. RefSeq lists it as uncharacterized. The record is from RefSeq and is a predicted model, not a curated record. The transcript is spliced from 3 exons. Lineage: Eukaryota; Metazoa; Chordata; Mammalia; Chiroptera; Phyllostomidae.